This 613-nucleotide ribosomal RNA is filed under the name uncultured bacterium. RNAcentral describes it as "bacterial SSU rRNA". It matches the Rfam family "Bacterial small subunit ribosomal RNA", at positions 8 to 473 of the family's 1533-position model. The record is from RNAcentral.
AGAGUUUGAUCAUGGCUCAGGACGAACGCUGGCGGCGUGCCUAACACAUGCAAGUCGAACGGACUGACACCUAACACCGAGUGCUUUUGGAUAAUGUGGCUCAUAAAAGCCAGCGAGUGGGCGAACGUAGAGAGCGCACCUGGCUUUUAUAAAGAGCCAAGACAACAGUAAGCAGGAAGACCAGAAAGAGCACUGGGUGUUAGGUGGAAGUUAGUGGCGGACGGGUGAGUAACGCGUGGAUAACCUACCUAGUAGACCGGGACAACCCUUGGAAACGAGGGCUAAUACCGGAUAAGCUUACCCCUUGGCAUCAAGGAGUAAGGAAAGAUGGCCUCUGAAGAUGCUAUCGUUAGUAGAUGGAUCCGCGUCUGAUUAGCUGGUUGGUGGGGUAAAGGCCUACCAAGGCGACGAUCAGUAGCCGGCCUGAGAGGGUGAACGGCCACACUGGGACUGAGACACGGCCCAGACUCCUACGGGAGGCAGCAGUGGGGAAUCUUCCGCAAUGGACGAAAGUCUGACGGAGCAACGCCGCGUGUACGACGAAGGCCUUCGGGUUGUAAAGUACUGUCUUCAGGGACGAACGGUAUUUAUGUAAAUAAUGUAGAUACAUGAC